Molecule: non-coding RNA, 9781 nt
Organism: Ictidomys tridecemlineatus (thirteen-lined ground squirrel)
Lineage: Eukaryota; Metazoa; Chordata; Mammalia; Rodentia; Sciuridae
Source: RefSeq, a predicted model, not a curated record
AUAUAUAUAUAUAUGUUAGAAAAUGCAAGUUACAAUGCCCAUUUCCAAUUCUCUCUCUCUCUCUCUCUCUCUCUCUCUCUCUCUCUCUCUCCCCACCCCCCCACCUCUGCCACAGUAGGUUCAAAGAUUUAUAUCUUUGGUUACAAUAAGAAUCUUAUCUGCUAGCUUGAUAAUAGUCUGCUAAAGUAUCUUCCACAUCCCCAUCUGCCUAUUGCCCAUAGAAAGGAAUUUAUUGAAAAGACACGUUGGCUGUAGAGUCAGAGGAAAAGCAGAAGAGUCUGAGUUGGAAAGUUCUGGAUGAAGAAGCAAGUCUUGCUGACCUAACUUAGGGUACAGGCGCACACUGUAGCUGGGGGAGGCAAGGAUUCUGGGCUUCUAGUCCCUGCUAGGGGAGGAGGAGCUAUCUGAAGUCCAAUUCGGGGUGCUAUUUCGGAAGAGGAAAUGAGUAUCUGGUGGUAAAAAGCUUCAAAAGCCCAUGCCCAAGACAUGUCCGGGAUGAAGGUGGUCCUUUUUUUGUGGGGUUAGUGAUGAUGACCUGUAUUUAUGGAGCACCACGUGCUGGGCACCAUAGCAUUUCUUCACUUGGUCCUCCUGUGAAGCAAACAGUAAUAUUAAUUUCACUUUAUAGAGCAGGAGACUUAGGCACGUUCCACCAGAGUGACAGAGCUGAGCUGAGCUGAGCUGAGCUGAAAACACAUCUAGGUUUGUUAUACCAGAACACAACAGGAUUUAGAGGAUUGUUGUAAAAAUCAAGAAUUAAUCUCAGAUGGAAACAUGGAAUUGCCUGCAUGUUUUAGGCCUAGAAAAAUGGCCCUGCAGAUAACUCCAGUGAAUGCACGUACAGCACUCAGAGCAGUGCCUGGGACUUGAUCAAGUGCCAAGUCGUAUUAUCAGAGGAUCCCGCCUCUCAUGGGCUUUAAGAACUAUGGGAGUGUCAAGGUCCAAAGCCCAGGACAGUAACUUUGGCUAGUGCCACACUGCAGUGUUCUAGGACCAAGCCAGGCACUGGGCUAGUUCCUUUCCAAUUAAUGAUAUCUAUAUGUCUGCACCGUUUCCUUCUGAUGGUUCUUCUCAGACUUGUCUUGAGAACAAUAUGUUCUCAGGGACUGGAAGCAAAGCAAGAUUUUUUUUUUUUUUAAACCAGGAAUGGAACUCAGGGGCACUCAGCACUGAGCCACAUCCCCAGCCCUAUUUUGUAUUUUAUUUAGAGACAGGGUCUCACUGAGUUGCUUAGUGCCUUGUGUGACUGAGACUGACUUUGAACUCUCAAUCCUCCUGCCUCAGCCUCCCUAGCUGCUGGGAUUACGGGUAUGAGUCACUGUGCCUAUCAAGAAGAUUGUUUUAAGGCAAUGCAGCAGCAGAUAAAGAAUCCCUUUCUUUAUCAUUUGGGGCUGGAUCAUGUCUUCCUCCUCUGUAUACCUGGCAAGAAUGUCCUGGUAGCUGUAUCUCUAAAACCACCUUGAAGAAAUUAACUGUAGAAUCCAGGUGUCCCUGGGAGCCACUUAGCUCAAUGUUUGAGCUGUUUAUCCACAGGAGGUGAGGCCAGAUAAUCCAACAGCUGCAAAAAAGAUGGAGGUCCCCCUGUGCCUAGGCAGGGUCCCCGAAUACUAGUACCAGCCCAGGAGCCCUUUGAACCUCACAUUAGGUAGAAUAAUUGAUUCAACGCCCCAAAGGUCUCAGCACACAGCAAUGCACCAGAAAGAGAAAAAUAACUCCUCCAGGCAUAAUCCCCUGCCUCCCUGCAAACACGAGCCACUCUCCAAUCUGCCCAAAGCAACAAGGUCUUCCAAGAGCCACAGGUCACUUAUUUUCUGGAAGAAUAAAUAAGAACCUGUUUUUGGUGAACUGAUUUCCAAGAAGCAAGAGCCUUCCUGAGUGCUGAUGCACUUCUGGAUGCAUCCUGACUCUGGCAGUUUCCAGCAUACCAUCAGGAUACCCCUCCCGCUGUGAAGUCCAUGUUGGAACUUACAUUGUCUUUAAAAGGCACAAAUAGCUGAACUGCAUAAUGUAACCUGAUGUUCUGACAACCUCACUUAUACUCAGGCUAAAUUUAAAGGUCACCAUUGCAGGGAAAUAGUGGCAAGAGAAUGAAAGUGCCUUAAACAUGGUUUUCAUAGACGUUCCCUCAUUUUGAGAGUCUUACACCAUAAAAGAGGCAAAAUUGCCUGUGAGUUUAAAAAAAUACAUAUAAGUGGAGAAUCCAUUUCUUGGGAAUGUGAUAGCUUUAGGAAAAAAUUGUAAAAUAGGUAGACACAGUGUGAAGUGGCUGAAGUUUGUCUUCGAUGUUUUCAAUCAUCUGUGCCCUUUUAUUCUUUCCUCCUGUUUUUAUGCAGCACCUACUGUGUGCAAGAAAUGGCAAUAAGGCCUGUGAUUGUAUAGAGUGGAGACAGUGCUUGUCUUCACAGAGCUCACAGUUUAAUAGGAAAGAAAGAUAUGGAAACAAAUAAUUAGAACAGAGCAAGAUAACACAAGAAAUACAUUGCGGAAGGCAGAGUAACGAAAGCUGAACUAGUCUAAGUGUGCACAGCACCUCCCCCAAUAAAGCAUGGCUUUACCUGAGUGCUAAUGGCUGAGUAGGCAAAAACUGUCUGAGGAGAGGGUGAAGCGUGACACAGAGGGCACAGCAUAUCUAGAAGCCAGGAGGGAAGGAAGAGCACCAGAGACAAUCUAGAUCAGGAGUUAGCCCAUAGGUCCAACCUCACCCCCUGCCUACUUUUGUAAAUAAUGUUUUAUUUGAAAACCACCACAUUUGUUUAUUUAUUUAUUUUCUAUGACAACUGUUAUGCUACUAUUGUUGAGUUGAGCUGUUGUGAUAGAGAGUGUAUGGCAACCGACCCACAGUAGUAUUUAAUAAAUAAUGGCUGUUACAGUAUUUGUGUUCUUCUCAUUUUGCAGACAUGAAUUGAGGUAAAAUGGAUUAAUAAAAUUGAAGUAAAAUGGAUUAAUAAAGAAUAGGAAGUUCCCGUGUUCCUAGGAAAGGGUUCAUUGUUCUUUGGCCACAGCACUAAGCAGCAGUGAGUCUUGGUUUUGAACUUAUCUUAACUGGUUGCUGACCACCUGGCAUCAGUACCCACACUACUGGAGUCAUCUGUCAGUGAAAUGUCACACGGCAUCUGUAGCUAAACACUACACGGUCUGUGAACACCACCACUUCUGAAAAAAACCAUUAAUCUCCAAACCCGAUGGAUCCCAAAUAAAAAUAGUUAGCUCUUGGCUUUGCAUAGAGAGGCUAGCCCUUAUUUGUCUUCCUGGUUAUAAUGGCCUCUCUUUUAAACAUAUCCCCAGUGAGAAAAGUGAUCACUGCGGACUUGGAAUUCAGGCAUAUCUUACCUCAAAGCCUUUCUCAUCUGCUCCUAAGGUCUCAGAGUUUGGAAUGCACACUGUGGGUGUUAGUUGAGAUGAUGGUACACAAUUUUGGCAUUGAAUGACAUCAAGUAUGGAGGAAAUAAGGGAAACUCAGCUGGAGGCUAGUCCAUUGCAGUAAGAAAAGAGAUCCUGAGGCCAGACCUCUAGUAAUUGUGUUAGUCCUUGUGCACAAUGAAUCAGCCCAAGCUUAAGGCUUUGAAUACCAACAAAAAUUAUCAUUUUAUACAGAUUAAAUAGACCAGGGAUUUGGGAGUCUGAGCUGGGGUUACAAGGUUACAGUUAGGACUCUUGAGGUUACAGUCAGGAUGUUGGCCAAAGCUUCAGGCAUUGGAAGGCUGAAUGGGGCAGGAGGCUCCUCCUCCAAGAUGGUGCACUCACACCCUGGCAGACUAGUGGUGCCUGCUGAUUGAGGCCUUAGUUCUUUGCCUCCCCAAAGGGCUGCAUGAGUGUGUUCAUGACAUGGGAGUAGGCAGGUCAUCAGAGAAUCAGGCAGAAACAACAGGAUCUUUUAUGACCUACACUUGAAAGCCACACACUGUCAUAUAUGUGAUAUUCUUUGAUCACACACACUAUAUGGGAGUUGACUGCUCAAGGGCAUAAAUAGUAAGAGGCAAAAAUCACUGAGUGCCACCUUGGAGACUACUACUGUCACUUACUAGCUAUGUAAUGUUGGGCACAAGGAGGGGAGAAGAGGCUAACAGGAGUAGGUGUUUGACAAGCAAAGUCAUGAAAAGUCACCAAAGGGCAGUUUUCACUUGUUUAAUGGCACAUGAUUAUUUUUGUCCAUUUAUAGAUGCAUUCUAAAAUUUUUCUUUUAAUAAAUUUAUGUCUUUCCUGGGUUCCUCAAAGCAGAACCUUACAUGUGGUCUAUUCAUCUGGAAAGUGCUUCCAGGGAGCAGAACUUGGGAGUAGGUAAAGAAGCAAAUGCAAGAGUGAGUUGUCAAGUUGUCCCCUGAGGCAGAGCAUGGGUGUUGGUCUCCCCAGCCUCAUAUGAGGGCCCUGUGAAAUUCUUAUCUCCCUGAGAGAUUAGAGGGAAAAACAUAUUUACCGAUUUCUUUCCUUAGUUAGUCAAAGAUGAUUUCCUUGCCUUUACUUCUGGGAUGCUUGCUGCAUGGAAAUGUUCCAUAGGCCCCACACAGAGCUAGAGGCUGUCUCCAAAGAUUUCUGGUGCCUCCCGGGGCCAGGCUCUCUGUAUUUAUUUAUUUUGCAGAGCUGGUCAAAGUCUGUUGCUUGAGACUUCUAUAAUAGCAGCUGUAGAAAAAUAUAUCCAAAUACAACCCAGGAAGAUUUCUGUGUCUUUUGAGGGAUGCCCAAUAGAAUGUAUUAAAAUGGAAAAGCAGAUUUUAAAAAUGAAAAAUAACUAUCAACCUGUAGAGAACUUGGAAGCAUCCCCUCCUUAAAAUACAAAGUUUGACAAAUUGAAAAUCAACCACCUUUCUUGGCACAUCAGAGAAAUGUGAAUGGAGCAGAAAAUGUCACCUCUGACUGUAAGUAACAGGAGCAUCCAGAGACUUGGUGACUUGGGGAGAAACCACUGGAGCCAUGAACUUGUGGGAACAUUUAGAUGGUAACUUUUGAAAACUGAGUUGGAACUGGGACCUGAAGUGUAGGGAACCCCCAAAUUGUCAGGGACUUUUCCCUCCGGGAACCCCAUCAACUUUUCUAUAAAUAUAAAACGAUUCUAAGUUUUAUUUAAUUUCAAAUAAUGGGGGAAAAGAGAAGAAAGAAGAGAAAAAACAGGUUUUAGUGGAUCAACACAUUGCUUCCUUCUAAUAAACACAUACAUUUACGUCUUCUCUAAUUGUGUACUAGGCCUGUGAUAACUAUCUUUGUAAAGGUCACAUUUAAACACAAGCCUAUGAGCUAAGUAUACAGAAGAGGAUUCGGAUUUCCAGGUUUAAGCAACCUGUCCAGCAAGUUUCUUACCCUCUCUGUGCAUUUUGUUUUCCUAAAUUUGUACCAAGGGGCUCAUAAUGAGUUAUUGUAAAACUGAAGCCAGGAGAGUUUCUGAAGCUGUGCUUGGGAUGUGGAAGCCAUUCCUUGCUGACAGUUGUCAUCACUGUCAUCGCUCACGGAGGGGGAGCACUGCUUCCUAUCUUAACCCUCAGCUCCCUCUGUGUAAACUGGGGGUGAGUCUCACUGACUUUCUAGGAGGAGAAAACAGGUUUUGUUAGGUGACUGUUUCCCAGGUUCUCAACCCCCUCCCCAAAGCGUCUGGGUGACCUGGAGGCAGCUUGGAGACCUCAGGCCCCCCAGGCUCCUGAUUCUGCCCUGUUGCCUCUGCUUCCAGGGCUCUGUGGGGUUUGACCAGAGACAAGUCCCUUCUCAGCCAGGGGAACACACACAGCCCUGCUGCCGAUGAGGCUGGCUCCUCUUCAUCUCCAAGGUUAUCAUUAAGCCUGAACCAAACAAGGGGGGUCCUGGCAUAUGAGCCCUACUCCUGAGAACCCCCAAGUUCUUGGAGCUGUGGAUGGCUGGUGUGCACUUGGUCACUCUUCUGUUUAUAGCUCUUCACCAUCUGCAGCAGACCUGGCACCAGGUUCCAGAAGGGCCAGUGCAGCUGGGAGAUUAACUAAGGUUCUGACCCAGUGAUUGUCUGGAGUCCAAAUCGGUCGCUGUUCUCCCUGUGGAAACACACAAACAGACCCCCGACUCCAGACAAUUACUGGGUCAGGACCUUUCCAUUCCUAAAAUAACGCCUGUUGAGGCUAGACACCUACAGCUACUCUUAGCUCCUGGAAUGAGUAUCUUCCAUCUCCAUUGGAAUCAAAUGCUCUCAAGCUCUCUGGAUCUGGCAAGGUAGAACCUAGAGAGUUCCAGAUUUCCUGGUAGGUCAGCUUUCCAUCCACAUCCUGGCCAGUCUUGUGGAAUAAAUCCUGAAGAUAUUCAACGAGCCUUUUGCUGUAUGGUACCUUCAAUGCUAGAAAUUCCUGGUAGGGAGACAGGCCUUAGUUGGGCAGCUUUCUCAAUUUGGUCUCCAAGAAAUUGUGAGAAUUUUGGCAAUGUUGAUGGCUUUGAUGUGAAACUCUGUACUUGUUCUUGGUCUGCAAUCUCUGGAGGCCUGUUGCUCUCAGGCCAGCACUGGAGGACACAGGCUGGCUGUGCAAUUGUCAUCCUUAGCCCAUGACAUGGACACAGCUUCCCUCCUCAGCCAGUGGCACUGGCCCCAAAGAUGUCUUUCUCAACAGGUGAGCUGCUAGCUGGCCGGGGUGGGCUUCCUCAGGGCUAGCUCCUCUACCGAGUCCCUGCUGGAGUGUACCCAUGUGGGCCAGCAGGCCUUUCUUCGUCCUGUGGAUGGAAGCCCCCUUUCCAGCUGAGGGCUGCCCAUCCCCCUGUGUGCUUCCGGUGGUCUGUUCACCAUGAGCCUCUGUUCCUGCUCCAGAUUCCUGCCUGGACCAGGGAUGAGCAGUCGGAGGCCACGCCAGAGCUCUCGUGGGUGCUGGGGAGGGAAAAGGCGUGUGGUUUGCUUUGGCAAGUGGAAAAUAAGUGGAAAAUGGAAGGAUCCUGCUGGGAUGAAGCUGGACAGCCACUGCUGGGAGACCUGGAGAGACCUACAGAGAGAGAAGAGGCAGAGAUGAGGAAACUGAGCCACCCAUGAAUCUCCUCUGGAAACACCCAUGUAAACACACACAGAGAAUCCAGGGGAUGAACUGUCAGAUUCCUGGUGGCUGAAUCCCAGGCAGGAUCGGGCCUGCACCAGACACAGCAGCAGGGAGAAUAUUCUGAAAAGAAGCCAGAGCUCAGCAAUUGACGGAGCUGGAGCAAGCAGCAAAGGCCUUCAGGGGAAGCUUUCCGUCACCGUCUCCGAGCGUACAAGGAGCAUGAAGCAGACCGAGGUUCUCUCUGUCCCUUCCUUCCCACGCCUUUUAACCUAACAGUGCAAGUGAGGCACUUCAUGAGAGGGACGCACCGCUAGCAGGCCGAGUCUGUCUGUCUUGAAGGUGCUCUUCUCCAGAGGCGCCCUCUCUGGAGGAUAUGCUUGCUGUGACCACUGUGGACUCAGGCCAUAUAAAUCUAGGGAAUGAGCUUACUAGGGUAGGGGAAGAGGACAGAGAGGAAAGUCAGAGUCUGGAAAAGAAACAGCCCAGAGGUGAAGAUCCCUGACCCCUGAGCAUUUGAGUCUUGAGUGUGUAGAUAGAAAACCAGCCCAAGAGGAAGAGCCAGCACGUGCCACAGUCCUCUCCCUUGGCCUCUGGCCAGCUGCCAGGCAGACUGUGGACCUUAUGGUAAUGGACUGCACCAGCUGGCCACCUAGUCUUUGCUGGGUGUCACAGCAGCCUUUCACACUGUGGUGGUUAAUCUGGGUUGUCAGAUAGAGAGAGGCCCAGGGUUAGGAGACUUAUGGGUGUGUCAGUGCGCACAUUUCCAGGUGUAACUGGCUUGUGGGUCAGCAAAUAGAGAUGGGAGACUGCCCUGAAUGUGGGUGGCACAGUCCAAUAGGCUGGGGCUGGAUGGAAAAAAGACGGGAGGAGGAAGCUGAGCUGAAGCCAGCUCCCUUUUUCAUGAGUUGGCCUGUCUGCUGCGGCUGCCAUCACCCUAGCCCCUUUGGCCUUCCAGUGUGGGCUCUGACCAGAGGCUCUCCAAGGCUUUCAGCUGAGCCUGGGGCUGCAUCAUGGGUCCUUUUGGUUCUGAGGCUCCAGCUUCUCGGACUGAGCAGCUGCUGGUUCCUCCAGCUCUCCAGCCUGCAGACGACCACUGUGGGAAUAUCCAGACUGUGAUUGUGGGAGCCACCGUAAGAGAUCCCCUGUUAUGGUCACAUGGACACACAUCCUAACACAGCUCUGUUCCUCUAGAGAAUCCUGACUAACGCACACAUAUUCUUCCUUAUGUAAGACCACCCUUGAAAUCCAACCUAUUUUUGACAAGAUUCAAACAACCAUCCUGCAGCCAUUAUAUGCUGCUAGCCAUCACUCUGAUUUCUGUCAGUCUUCUGGGAUUUUUGAGUGUUUCAAAAAUGUGCCAAGGGAGAGAAGAUGGCGAAUUAGAGGAGGGAUGCACGUCCCGCUGUUUCCUAGGCACCAGACUUAACAAGCGGGAAGACUGUUCCUCAGAGAGGUGGGUAACUAAGGGAAUUCACCGAAAUUCAAUACUGAACAGUUAAAGAAACCAUAGAGACACAGGAAGUUAGAAACUUGAACAGAACAUAAGAAAUAAUACCUGAGAGAUGGGCCAGCUUGACUGCUGAGCGGGACCACAGGGAGAGAGAGAGGGAAGCGGAAGAGACAUUGACUUGGGGGAUCCUGGGGAACGGAGAGGAGGCUGACCUUAGUGCACCCAGAGUUGGUGGGGGAAGUUAUUGAGUGAAAAGUAGACAGUUUGGUGGGAACCACAGUCACUAAAGGCUGGAAUCAUUUAUAAGCACUGUGCAGCCACAAGCAGGGUCAGGAGAUUGGGACCUCAAAAGGAAGUUGCCAGUGGACCCAGAAGACACCUAUUAUGAUAUCCAGGGUCUGCCUGGAUCAGUGUGACUGAAAUAGGCACAAAGAAAAUCAUGCCUAGGGCAUCUGACUCCAGAUACUAAGGACAGAGAGCUCCCUUAUUGUUGGUGCUCCAUCAGAGCUUGUGGGAAAACACAAACAAAGUUCACACAGGAAGCGUCUACACUCCAGAGUGGAUACUGGGUAAUUCGCAUCCAUAGAAGUAAAUGCAAAAUCUGUGGAAGUUUAGACCCUGUGCCCUAAAAGUGGAUUUUAUGUGAAAUCCUGAGAUCCAGAUGUCCAGCAGAGAUGGGCGUCCCUCAGCAACAAGGGGUGUAGAUCAAAUCUCAAAUACUCACUGGCAGAGUUCCAAAGUUCUGCCAACACUAAACUUUAACUAUUGGAACUUCCAGUUUUAGAACCUGCAUCACCCCUUCCACAGGAGUACACGAUUUGUCAACACCUCCGGGUCUAUCCCAUCCUAAACCGGGAUAUAGGGAGCUGAGAGCUAUGGUAACCAGCUUGACUUCUACCCACAUGACUGUCAGUGAGCUGAGGAACAUAAAGACAUUGGAUGGAACAACUCCCAGCCCUUGACCCAAAGGAUAAGAGCCCCAAAAUAACUACAGAGAAUAAAAAUCCCUUCUCCCAGCAAUUUUGACUGCCUCUGUAAAAACAAGCUCUUCGUUUCUCAUUAAUAUUUUUUUCCUUUUUUUUGCCUACAUAACCCCCAUUUUUCUUUUACUUGUUUUGUAAAUUUUACUUAAAAAUUUUCAAAUAUGAUUUUAUUAUGUAUUUAUUAUCUUGUACUUUUUCCCAUUGUGUAAGAUUAUGUGUAUGGGUGUGUGUGUGUGUGUGUGUGUGUGUGUGUGUGUUCUGACUGUGCAUAUAGGUUCAAAAAUACACAUAUUCAUAAAAUUUUACUUUCAUUUUAAUUGCUUUCUUCUGUACCUGCUUAUUAUUUAGUCUUGGUUUGACUUAAGUGGGGUAUAAUUAUA